CCUACGGGUGGCAGCAGUGGGGAAUAUUGCACAAUGGGCGCAAGCCUGAUGCAGCCAUGCCGCGUGUGUGAAGAAGGCCUUCGGGUUGUAAAGCACUUUCAGCGGGGAGGAAGGCGUUAAGGUUAAUAACCUCGGCGAUUGACGUUACCCGCAGAAGAAGCACCGGCUAACUCCGUGCUAGCAGCCGCGGUAAUACGGAGGGUGCAAGCGUUAAUCGGAAUUACUGGGCGUAAAGCGCACGCAGGCGGUCUGUCAAGUCGGAUGUGAAAUCCCCGGGCUCAACCUGGGAACUGCAUUCGAAACUGGCAGGCUAGAGUCUUGUAGAGGGGGGUAGAAUUCCAGGUGUAGCGGUGAAAUGCGUAGAGAUCUGGAGGAAUACCGGUGGCGAAGGCGGCCCCCUGGACAAAGACUGACGCUCAGGUGCGAAAGCGUGGGGAGCAAACAGGAUUAGAUACCCCUGUAGUC
Molecule: ribosomal RNA, 465 nt
Filed under: uncultured Klebsiella sp.
Lineage: Bacteria; Pseudomonadati; Pseudomonadota; Gammaproteobacteria; Enterobacterales; Enterobacteriaceae
Description: bacterial SSU rRNA
Rfam family: Bacterial small subunit ribosomal RNA
Source: RNAcentral